UCUGAGGAGGUGUCUGGGACUGCCAGGGGCUGGCUGCACGCCUCAGGGGGACGGCCGAUUGUGGGACCGCGGUCGGCAGGGCCGCGCCGCUGGGGCAGCCCCCGGGGCGGCGCGGAGGGAGUUAACGCAGUGGCGGCCUUGCCCCAGCCCUCGCGCGUGCGCACUGGGCAGGCGGCGGGUCUGGCGGUAGCCCAGGCGCGCCACCCUUGACCCCUGUGCUUCGCACGCUGUGCGGCCGGCUGCUGGACCGAGGGCGGUGCGGGCGCUCCGGCUUCUGGCUGCGGGCCGUGGGGGGUCCCGCGGGGCUCAGGCGGCCCAGGGGCCUGAGUGGGUGCGGGGCUGGGUUCUUGCGGUUAAAAACCACGUAAGGUGGGCGGAGUGACCGUGCGGACGCCGCUGCUGCGCGGACGGAGCUCGGCCGGGUUCCGAGACUAGACGGGGGACAGUGCGACCGUCACGAACUGGGAGCGAACAUCAGGGUAGAAGACAGGAUGCGGAGGGGGAAGCGCCUCCGAGGAGGUGACACUGCGGCUGAGACCCGAGGGGGAGGGGGCGCCCGGCAGAGGGAAUAGCCGCGCUACGGCGUUGCAAGAAGGGAGGGGAGGCCAGUGUGGCGGCUCGCAGGCCAGGCUACGAAGGUGGAGUUCAGCGGUGGUGGGGCGACGUGGAGGAUGUGCAACAUCCGGCGCCGAGGCUUCUUCACUCUGGCCGGUGAACAGCGCAGGCAGGGAGGCAGUCAGCCUUCUGGCAAAGCAGUGGCCCGGGCCCAGGCAGGAGGCUGGGAGAAUAAAACCCGGCGCCAAAGAGGCUAGGGCUUUCGGGUUUUGUUCCCCACGGGGCCGCCAGCGUUCCCCCACCCAUGUCCGGCAAGCGGUUGUUACUGCAUGACCCUUGGUGGGAGCAAGGAAGGUGCACCCCGCCCCAGACGUUGUCCGAACAGGUAGGUGCAUCAAGGAAGAGAAGGGAACAGAUCGAAAUCGGAUCUUUCUGGAGAAAGGAAUCACUGUGAUUUGGAGACGGACUAACCGCUAGGACAAGGACAGGGGAGUCCAGGUUGCAGCUUGGUGACCAGACGGUUGGUACUGCAGACGCUGUCUGCACGUCAUUGUUCUCUGCGCUCUGUGGUUUUCCCAGCCUGUGGAUGGUGGUGCCUUUCCCUGUCCAGCCAAUCUGGCCCCAUCCGGAGGUUGUCAGCUGUGCCCCAGCACCUUCACCCCGGGCUGGGGGGUGUCUCAGAGUCACGGACAAAAGGGAGCCCGGAAGGAGCAGCCCCCUCCUGUGUCCCUUCUGCUAAGGCACCAACACAUUUCUAGGGGGGAUGUGUUGGCAGGCAGGCAGUCAGUCCGGUGCAGGGGCCUCCCUUUGGAUUUAGAUUUGCCCUGGUGUGGUGGGGGUGCAUUUAGAGCAUUGAAUUCUCUACUGUCAUUGUCACGUCUGCCAUGGCCACGCACGGAGGAGUGAGUGGAACAGAGGGCAGCCCUGGCUCUGCCCUGCAGCCGUCAAGGGGCCCAGAGGGUCAGCACUGGGGACAGGGUGGCCGUGGCAGCAUGUCGGAGCCCCACACAUCCUGGGCCCACCAUUAGUGCAUGCCCAGGGCCGCACCGGCACCCUAGGUGGGGAGGGAGUGGGCGAGCAACCCCACCUUGGCAAGGGUGGGAACAAUUCAGCCGCGCAGCCAACCCCCGCUACUUUUUAAAAAAUGAGCGGAAUGCUAUAGUUUGGCAUGCAUAUAAAUUUUAACACGUUUUAUGUUAAAUCUAAAAGCAUGAUUUAUUCAUACACAUGAAUUUAAUCAAGUUUGUUUCUAAAUAUUGCUGAUUUUUGUUACCAAGUGUGUUAUCAGCUGUUGAGCUUUAAAAUUUGAGCAUCUUUUGCCGUUUUGAAGAUGAACAGAACGUGUUCAGAAGAAACAUAAGGAAAUAAAUCUGGAGGCCGCCUGUCCCCUGGCCUUCCAGGAGUUCUGGCUUCACCCUUCUUACACCCCUGUGCCAACUUACUGAGGCCCUGGGGGCUGAGGGCUGGGACGCUACGUCCUUUGGGGACCUCGGGAGGCCUUUGGCCCAGGUUUGGUGGAGGGGGGUGGGGCAGGGCUCCUGGAGACUGCAUUGGGCAGCCAGCCCCAGGCCUGGAGCACUAUACCACAGGCAUCUUUCAGGCUUUGCCAGUGUCCUGAGCCCCUCCCUUCCCUUCCAGGGUCGGGGGCCACCUGCUGGCAUGUGGCGCUGCUCUCCAUUUGGAAACGGAAGUCAAGGAUAGUGUGCCUGAGCUGGGGCGGUCACAGCUGGGCGCGGAGCAGUGGAGCUCAUACGCCGCAUUGUUGGCGGACCUGUGGGCCGUGUCGCAGUGUCGACUGGGGCCAAGAUGGCUUGGCCCUGCUCCCAGGACCCACGUUGUGCCAUCCACAGCCAGCCUUCUUGGGACUUAUCCAACCCUGCAGGCGUCUGAUGCCAGCAUCUGUGUGGUGUAGGCCGGGCCCCAGGAGCGGGGCCUGGGCAGCCCUGUGUGUUGAGGAAGGAAGGCAGGGCCCCCGCUCCCCGGGCCCGACCCCGUAGCUUCAGCUCCUCGUGCCUGUUUGAGGACAACACCACGUGGGCCUAUCAGGUGGGGAUGGGACUCCAGGGCCCAGCGCCCCGCUUCCUGGUGCUCUCCUGGGCGGGCUGCCGGGGUCGAGACCUCUGCCUUGUCGCGCCUUCUCAGGCAGCCUCUCAACCUACCUUCCCUGAGCCCCCUCGUGCAGGGACCCCAGGGGCUUUGCUGUCCUUUGGGAAAGGGAGAUAGGCUUCAGGGACUCGAACCUCCCAGGGUUUGGAGGUGGACCUGAGCCGGGGUUCAAGGAAGGCACCUCGCGUCUGCAGAGUGGGAUAUCACACGUGGCCCGCUUGCCUCAGCUGAGGGGUGGAGUGAGCAGCCUAAUCCUGACUUUGGUUUUGGGGGGACCUCUUAGAACCUCUGUGGCCACCUCUUUGCUGCAGGAGCCCCUCUGGGUCCAGAUAGAGCCCAAGCUGUCUACCCAGGAACGUCCCUUGGUGUGCAGGUAAGGGCCACAGGGUCUGGGUGAGCACAGGUGGCCCUCCCUUCUCACUGACCAGUCUGUGUGGGAACGGGGGCGGCGGGGGGGGGGGGGGUGGUCUCAGAGGACCUGGCUGGCCUACACCAUUGAUGUCGUGCUGGUUCCCAGAAGCGAGCCGAACAGCAGCUGGCAUGGGGUGUCCUGCAGAUGCCAUCGCCAAAUCUGUUGCCCUGGCUGGUGGUCUAGCCCCGGGCUGGCCUCUCGGAAACCUCCGCCCUCACCUCCAGGUUCUGGCACUGUGGGUGUCCAGGCUGACUGCUCUGGGGCGCUGGGACGUUGCUGUCUCUGUGGUCAAGGGACUGACUGACUUCAGCCCAGGCUCAUGCGGGUCCAGGCUGGACCGGACGGGCUGGCUUCUCUCCCACCUGCGAUGUGUGGUCAUUCCCAGGCAGCUUGCGGCCACCCUUGGACCAGCCUUCCGGCCUUCCUUCCAGCUGCUGGCCUUGGCUCACUCCUUCUUCUGCCCUGGUCCUGUCAGCUGCUUUGUGAGACAGGGCUGAAGGCCCCUGAGACUGAGGUGACCUUCGCUCCUCCUGGAGUCCUGGAUUGAAGAUCUGGAUUGGCGUUUGCCCAGCAAAAAAACCUGUCCAGUUUGUUUUUCUGUGUCCCUGCGACCGUAGGGUCAGGGACACCGUGGGGGGCAGGGGCUAGGCCCUAGGGUAGGGUCACUUCUGCUAGCCUGUGGGUCUUCCUAAGUGAGGUGGGGUCUCGCCAGCUCAAGUGGACCACGAAGGCACACUUGUGGACCCCUUGAGGAUGUGAACCUGCACACUGCAGUCGUGGUGGAGACUGGGAUCGUGUCCUGGGACCUGGCUCUUAUCUGGAGUACCCAACUAAAUAAAGACCCUGUGUCCCGGCUCCCUCUCCCUGGAGCAGCCAUGUGCCUGCGUUCUGUGCAACAACGUGGACGCAGAAGCACAUGACAUCCGGGAGCUGUGUCCUCCUCCCGUCCCCCUGCUGCUUCUGUCUGGAGCCUCAGGGUGACCUUGAACCCAAGAGCAGAGCUUGAGGGAGGCCUGCACCUGGACAGAGCAGGCAGAUGGAGGCUGGCUUCCUGAGGCCUUGUUGGCGACAACACCCAGACCACUGUCUCUGGACUUUGUACUUGACCGAGAAAUAAACGCCUGUCUGUUUUCAAAGCUG
Herpailurus yagouaroundi (jaguarundi) is the source of this 4213-nucleotide long non-coding RNA. RefSeq lists it as uncharacterized. The record is from RefSeq and is a predicted model, not a curated record. The transcript is spliced from 2 exons. NCBI's taxonomy places the organism in Eukaryota, Metazoa, Chordata, Mammalia, Carnivora, Felidae.